AAGUCGUAACAAGGUCUCCGUAGGUGAACCUGCGGAGGGAUCAUUAACACUAUGAAAACACGAAGUAGACUGUCAAGACUGCAAAGUCAACACAGAUUACUUUUGUUAUCAACCAACUCGUGAACGAAACAUUAUUUUACCUCUCCUUCACUUAGCUAUUGUGAUCAAAAGCAUAGCUAUGUGUUAGUUUUUAUUGUAUUUUUUGUUAUUAUACAAACCAACAACAACAACAGUAUAACAAAGUAACACCUGUAUGUUUAUUCAUACUAGUGUGACUAAUAGUUAACAACAUAAGCACAACUCUUAGCAACGGAUAUCUCGGUUCUC
RNAcentral lists this unclassified non-coding RNA (327 nucleotides) under fungal sp. RNAcentral describes it as "partial internal transcribed spacer region". The stretch from base 1 to 46 matches the Rfam family "Eukaryotic small subunit ribosomal RNA", at positions 1786 to 1831 of the family's 1831-position model. Lineage: Eukaryota; Fungi. The record is from RNAcentral.